Molecule: ribosomal RNA, 461 nt
Filed under: uncultured bacterium
Lineage: Bacteria
Description: bacterial SSU rRNA
Rfam family: Bacterial small subunit ribosomal RNA
Source: RNAcentral
GCCAGACUCCUACGGGAGGCAGCAGUGGGGAAUAUUGCACAAUGGGGGGAACCCUGAUGCAGCGACGCCGCGUGGGUGAAGGAGCACCUCGGUGCGUAAAGCCCUAUCGGCAGGGAAGAAAAGCGAACAGGUUCGCCUGGACGGUACCUGACUAAGAAGCCCCGGCUAACUACGUGCCAGCAGCCGCGGUAAUACGUAGGGGGCAAGCGUUAUCCGGAUUCACUGGGUGUAAAGGGAGCGUAGACGGCAUGGCAAGCCAGAUGUGAAAUACCGGGGCUCAACCCCGGGACUGCAUUUGGAACUGUUAAGCUGGAGUGUCGGAGAGGCAGGCGGAAUUCCUAGUGUAGCGGUGAAAUGCGUAGAUAUUAGGAGGAACACCAGUGGCGAAGGCGGCCUGCUGGACGAUAACUGACGUUGAGGCUCGAAAGCGUGGGGAGCAAACAGGAUUAGAUACCCGGGUA